Molecule: ribosomal RNA, 253 nt
Filed under: uncultured bacterium
Lineage: Bacteria
Description: partial 16S ribosomal RNA
Rfam family: Bacterial small subunit ribosomal RNA
Source: RNAcentral
UACGUAGGGUGCAAGCGUUGUCCGGAAUUAUUGGGCGUAAAGGGCGCGUAGGCGGCUCUGCACGUCCGUUGUGAAAUCGCCCGGCUCAACUGGGCGGGGUCAGCGGAUACGGCAGAGCUUGAGCAAGCUAGGGGGCAAUGGAAUUCCCGGUGUAGUGGUGGAAUGCGUAGAUAUCGGGAGGAACACCAGUGGCGAAGGCGGUUGCCUGGGGCUUGCUGACGCUGAUGCGCGAAAGCGUGGGGAGCGAGUCCGG